Archocentrus centrarchus (flier cichlid) is the source of this 217-nucleotide long non-coding RNA. RefSeq lists it as uncharacterized. The record is from RefSeq and is a predicted model, not a curated record. The transcript is spliced from 3 exons. NCBI's taxonomy places the organism in Eukaryota, Metazoa, Chordata, Actinopteri, Cichliformes, Cichlidae.
CGUCUGCUCAACUCUGAGCCCUAACUGGACCAUUAUUGCACAAUCAGAUGGGUUCAACAUCACACUCCAAACUUCAGUCUUCUGCACUCCAUCCAGCUGUUUGUGUCGAGAACAAAGAUAUGAUAUGAACAGAGUAAAGGAGUCACUUACCACAACUCGUAAGAACUUCUGGACACGGUCUCCACCCAUUGCAUCUCUGGCGAGCACCAUCACCUCC